Molecule: ribosomal RNA, 760 nt
Filed under: Streptomyces violascens
Lineage: Bacteria; Bacillati; Actinomycetota; Actinomycetes; Kitasatosporales; Streptomycetaceae
Description: bacterial SSU rRNA
Rfam family: Bacterial small subunit ribosomal RNA
Source: RNAcentral
UGGAGGGGCGCUGCGUACGAUGCGGUCAAUCGAUGAACCGCUUUCGGGCGGGGAUUAGUGGCGAACGGGUGAGUAACACGUGGGCAAUCUGCCCUGCACUCUGGGACAAGCCCUGGAAACGGGGUCUAAUACCGGAUAUGACUGUCCAUCGCAUGGUGGAUGGUGUAAAGCUCCGGCGGUGCAGGAUGAGCCCGCGGCCUAUCAGCUUGUUGGUGAGGUAGUGGCUCACCAAGGCGACGACGGGUAGCCGGCCUGAGAGGGCGACCGGCCACACUGGGACUGAGACACGGCCCAGACUCCUACGGGAGGCAGCAGUGGGGAAUAUUGCACAAUGGGCGAAAGCCUGAUGCAGCGACGCCGCGUGAGGGAUGACGGCCUUCGGGUUGUAAACCUCUUUCAGCAGGGAAGAAGCGAAAGUGACGGUACCUGCAGAAGAAGCGCCGGCUAACUACGUGCCAGCAGCCGCGGUAAUACGUAGGGCGCAAGCGUUGUCCGGAAUUAUUGGGCGUAAAGAGCUCGUAGGCGGCUUGUCACGUCGGUUGUGAAAGCCCGGGGCUUAACCCCGGGUCUGCAGUCGAUACGGGCAGGCUAGAGUUCGGUAGGGGAGAUCGGAAUUCCUGGUGUAGCGGUGAAAUGCGCAGAUAUCAGGAGGAACACCGGUGGCGAAGGCGGAUCUCUGGGCCGAUACUGACGCUGAGGAGCGAAAGCGUGGGGAGCGAACAGGAUUAGAUACCCUGGUAGUCCACGCCGUAAACGGUGG